GGUUUGAUUCUGGCUCAGAUUGAACGCUGGCGGGAUGCUUUACACAUGCAAGUCGAACGGCAGCACGGACUUCGGUCUGGUGGCGAGUGGCGAACGGGUGAGUAAUGUAUCGGAACGUGCCUAGUAGCGGGGGAUAUACGCGAAAGCGUAGCUAAUACCGCAUACGCCCUUCGGGGAAAGCGGGGACCUUCGGGCCUCGCACUGUUAGGCUUGGCAAUCGGAUUGGCUAGUUGGUGGGGUAACGGCUCGCAAGGCGACGAUCCGUAGCUGGUUUGAGAGGACGACCAGCCACACUGGGACUGAGACACAUUAGACUCCUACGGGAAGCAGCAGUGGGGAAUUUUGGACAAUGGGAAACCCUGAUCCAGCCAUCCGCGUGUGCGAUAGAAGGCCUUCGGGUUGCUAAAGCACUUUUGGCAGGAAAAGAAACGGCACGGGAUAAUACCCCGUGCAACUGACGGUACCUGCAGAAUAAGCACCGGCUAACUACGUGCCAGCAGCCGCGGUAAUACGUAGGGUGCAAGCGUUAAUCGGAAUUACUGGGCGUAAAGCGUGCGCAGGCGGUUCGGAAAGAAAGAUGUGAAAUCCCAGAGCUUAACUUUGGAACUGCAUUUUUAACUACCGAGCUAGAGUGUGUCAGAGGAGGUGGAAUUCCGCAUUAAAGCAGUGAAAUGCGUAGAUAUGCGGAGGAGGAACACCGAUGGCGAAGGCAGCCUCCUGGGAUAACACUGACGCUCAUGCACGAGCGUGGGGAGCAAACAGGAUUAAGAUACCCUGGUAGUCCACGCCCUAAACGAUGUCAACUAGCUGUUGGGGCCUUCGGGCCUUGGUAGCGCAACUAACGCGUGAAGUUGACCGCCUGGGGAGUACGGUCGCAAGAUUAAAACUCAAAGGAAUUGACGGGGACCCGCACAAGCGGUGGAUGAUGUGGAUUAAUUCGAUGCAACGCGAAAAUUAUACCUACCCUUGACAUGUCUGGAAUCCCGAAGAGAUUUGGGAGUGCUCGCAAGAGAACGGAACACAGGUGCUGCAUGGCUGUCGUCAGCUCGUGUCGUGAGAUGUUGGGUUAAGUCCACGAGCACCAACCCUUGUCAUUAGUUGCUACGAGGCACUCUAAUGAGACUGCCGGUGACAAACCGGAGGAAGGUGGGGAUGACGUCAAGUCCUCAUGGCCCUUAUGGGUAGGGCUUCACACGUCAUACAAUGGUCGGGACAGAGGGUCGCCAACCCGCGAGGGGGAGCCAAUCCCAGAAACCCGAUCGUAGUCCGGAUCGCAGUCUGCAACUCGACUGCGUGAAGUCGAGAUCGCUAGUAAUCAUGGCGGAUCAGCAUGUCGCGAGUGAAUACGUUCCCGGGUCUUGUACACACCGCCCGUCACACCAUGGGGAGUGGGUUUGCAAGUAGUUAGCCUAACCGUAAGGAGGGCGAUUACCACGGUAGGAUUCAUGACUGGGGUGAAGUCGUAACAAGGUAG
Molecule: ribosomal RNA, 1474 nt
Filed under: uncultured Bordetella sp.
Lineage: Bacteria; Pseudomonadati; Pseudomonadota; Betaproteobacteria; Burkholderiales; Alcaligenaceae
Description: partial 16S-23S ribosomal RNA intergenic spacer
Rfam family: Bacterial small subunit ribosomal RNA
Source: RNAcentral